This is a long non-coding RNA of Bufo bufo (common toad), 316 nucleotides long. RefSeq lists it as uncharacterized. Lineage: Eukaryota; Metazoa; Chordata; Amphibia; Anura; Bufonidae. The record is from RefSeq and is a predicted model, not a curated record. The transcript is spliced from 2 exons.
GAUCGUCACCAGUGACCCCUGCUAGAAGGUAUUGGCCUUAAGAACCAAAAAGAGCCCUAAAUAAGAUCACUGUACCAGAGCGGGGGUCUCACUGUGUCCCUGCAAUGAAUAUGGGAUACAGCUGGAGGUGAUGACUCUACCACAAGUCAGCGACAUGGUGGCCACCAUGUCAGGAUCAGAUGACCUGCACUUCAGCAAGAGGCAGAUUCCGGGCUCGGUCUCUGCACUCACCCACUGGACUUUCUGCAGUCAGACGUAUUCACUAAAGAAGUGCGUUUCCUGCUGCAUCAAAGGCAGAUUCCAGGCUUGGUCUCUG